AGUCCUCGUGUUGCAUCC
RNAcentral lists this small nuclear RNA (18 nucleotides) under Arabidopsis thaliana (thale cress). RNAcentral describes it as "snRNA_02780". Lineage: Eukaryota; Viridiplantae; Streptophyta; Magnoliopsida; Brassicales; Brassicaceae. The record is from RNAcentral.